Molecule: unclassified non-coding RNA, 232 nt
Filed under: plant metagenome
Description: partial contains small subunit ribosomal RNA, internal transcribed spacer 1, and 5.8S ribosomal RNA
Rfam family: 5.8S ribosomal RNA (bases 184-232)
Source: RNAcentral
UUUCCGUAGGUGAACCUGCGGAAGGAUCAUUAAAAAUGAAGCCGGGAAACCGGUCCUUCUAACCCUUGAUUAUCUUAAUUUGUUGCUUUGGUGGGCCGCGCAAGCACCGGCUUCGGCUGGAUCGUGCCCGCCAGAGGACACAACUCUGUAUCAAAUGUCGUCUGAGUACUAUAAAAUAGUUAAAACUUUCAACAACGGAUCUCUUGGUUCUGGCAUCGAUGAAGACCGCAGC